Molecule: ribosomal RNA, 649 nt
Filed under: uncultured Lachnospiraceae bacterium
Lineage: Bacteria; Bacillati; Bacillota; Clostridia; Lachnospirales; Lachnospiraceae
Description: bacterial SSU rRNA
Rfam family: Bacterial small subunit ribosomal RNA
Source: RNAcentral
CUUUAUUGAAACUUCGGUCGAUUUAAUUUAAUUCUAGUGGCGGACGGGUGAGUAACGCGUGGGUAACCUGCCUUAUACAGGGGGAUAACAGUCAGAAAUGGCUGCUAAUACCGCAUAAGCGCACAGAGCUGCAUGGCUCAGUGUGAAAAACUCCGGUCGUAUAAGAUGGACCCGCGUUGGAUUAGCUGGUUGGUGGGGUAACGGCCCACCAAGGCGACGAUCCAUAGCCGGCCUGAGAGGGUGAACGGCCACAUUGCGACUGAGACACGGCCCAGACUCCUACGGGAGGCAGCAGUGGGGAAUAUAGCACAAUGGGGGAAACCCUGAUGCAGCGACGCCGCGUGAAGGAAGAAGUAUCUCGGUAUGUAAACUUCUAUCAGCAGGGAAGAUAGUGACGGUACCUGACUAAGAAGCCCCGGCUAACUACGUGCCAGCAGCCGCGGUAAUACGUAGGGGGCAAGCGUUAUCCGGAUUUACUGGGUGUAAAGGGAGCGUAGACGUGCAAGGCAAGUCUGAUGUGAAAACCCAGGGCUUAACCUUGGGACUGCAUUGGAAACUGUCUGGCUCGAGUGCCGGAGAGGUAAGCGGAAUUCCUAGUGUAGCGGUGAAAUGCGUAGAUAUUAGGAAGAACACCAGUGGCGAAGGCGGC